UAACCGCAGUAGCUGGCACAAAUUUUACCAAUACUAUAUAUUAUUACUAAUUCAAAAUUUCUUUUAUAAUUAAUAUCAAUUACUGCGAAUAGAGAUAUAAAAUAAUUAAUUGUUUAAAAUUAAAUAUAAUUCACACAAAAAUUUACAUGUAAAAUAAAAUAAUAAUAAAAUGAUGUUGACUAGAAUAAAAUAAUAUUAUAUU
This 202-nucleotide ribosomal RNA is filed under the name Anopheles culicifacies. RNAcentral's name for it is "partial 12S ribosomal RNA". The record is from RNAcentral. Lineage: Eukaryota; Metazoa; Arthropoda; Insecta; Diptera; Culicidae.